UACCCGCGGUUAGACGGAAAGACCCCGUGCACCUUCACUACAGCUUCGCACUGGCAUCAGACACAACAUGUGCAGGAUAGGUGGUAGGCUUCGAAGCAGGGACGCCAGUCUCUGUGGAGCCUCCCUUGAGAUACCACCCUUGUUUUGUUUGAUGUCUAACCGCGGUCCGUUAUCCGGAUCCGGGACCCUGCGUGGUGGGUAGUUUGACUGGGG
RNAcentral lists this ribosomal RNA (213 nucleotides) under Nephroselmis pyriformis. RNAcentral's name for it is "partial Bacterial large subunit ribosomal RNA". It matches the Rfam family "Bacterial large subunit ribosomal RNA", at positions 2067 to 2279 of the family's 2925-position model. The record is from RNAcentral. Lineage: Eukaryota; Viridiplantae; Chlorophyta; Nephroselmidophyceae; Nephroselmidales; Nephroselmidaceae.